ACUCUUUGGAAUAUAUCAAUCCUAAGAAUAGUUAAUUCUUCAGCCCACCAAUCAACAAUGGGCUUUGGUUGAGACAUUGUGGAAGAAAGGAUGCCCUCGUUGCCAGUAUCAGACCUGCCUGUCAUAGAAAAUUGGCUUUCCCUGCAGGCCAUGAAUGCUAUUGCAUCUAUGCAUCGACUCACCAAUUUUAUUUUCUCUGCCAGUGGAAGGAGGUUUUCUGAUAGGUGUAAGACAGAAACUGCCCCAGCAAGACUCUUAAGUGCC
Molecule: unclassified non-coding RNA, 264 nt
Filed under: Hevea brasiliensis (rubber tree)
Lineage: Eukaryota; Viridiplantae; Streptophyta; Magnoliopsida; Malpighiales; Euphorbiaceae
Source: RNAcentral